GUUUUCUCUAAGUUCCAAUAUCUGUAGUUUAGUUAAUCUGUAACAGAAAGGCAUAACAAGUUAUCACAAUAUACUGUAUUUUAUGGCAAAAGCAAUCUCAGAACUUAUUUAUAUUGCUAAAUUUACAUUUCAAAAGAGAUCUUCAAGUUU
Molecule: long non-coding RNA, 150 nt
Organism: Oxyura jamaicensis (ruddy duck)
Lineage: Eukaryota; Metazoa; Chordata; Aves; Anseriformes; Anatidae
Exons: 3
Source: RefSeq, a predicted model, not a curated record